Molecule: long non-coding RNA, 436 nt
Organism: Haliotis rubra (blacklip abalone)
Lineage: Eukaryota; Metazoa; Mollusca; Gastropoda; Lepetellida; Haliotidae
Exons: 3
Source: RefSeq, a predicted model, not a curated record
CGCUGAGGUGUUAUACAGGGGCAGCAUGUUGGUAUCAACAAGCUGGAAGAACACAUAGUUGCAGCACUGCCAAGGUGGAUCCUAUACAUGGAGAUGCUAUUUGGGCUUCCUUAGUGAAUUUCUACAUGCCCCGUUGUUAAUGUGUAUAGGCGGGUACCACUCUCUAACACUGCAUGUGCUAAGCCUAUGUUGGAGUGCAACCCUUCCUUCAAUUAUCACCGUCUUUCCACUGUGUGUUUUACCUGCACAAUGUAAACAUCGGUCUCAGACGUCCAUCACAGGAUACCACAAUGGGGCAGCAGGACACAGCUCUUCACCAGCUAUAGAACAGCCCAAGACUCACUAAAACAACACCUGACAUCUUUCCAAUAAACCGUGAAGAUCUGGGUUAGAACUGAUCUUCAGUCACCUAUGCUUGUGGUAAGAGCCGACUAAC